GUCCACGCCUAACGAUGUCAACUAGGUGUUGGAGGUAAACCUUAGUACCGUAGCUAACGCGAGAAGUUGACCGCCUGGGAGUACGGCCGCAAGGUUAACUCAAGGAAUUGACGGGACCCGCACAAGCGGUGGAUGAUGUGGAUUAAUUCGAUGCAACGCGAAACCUUACCUACCCUUGACAUGUCAGGAACUUGCCAGAGAUGGCUUGGUGCCCGAAAGGGAACCUGAACACAGGUGCUGCAUGGCUGUCGU
RNAcentral lists this ribosomal RNA (252 nucleotides) under uncultured bacterium. RNAcentral describes it as "partial 16S ribosomal RNA". It matches the Rfam family "Bacterial small subunit ribosomal RNA", at positions 793 to 1055 of the family's 1533-position model. The record is from RNAcentral.